AGCUUUGCGUAGUGGCAGUAUCAUAGCCAAUGAGGUUUAUCCAAGGCACGAUUAUUGCUAAUUGAAAACUGAGGAUGGUUGCUUAGAACCUUAUAAUAUUCUUUCCAUCAUAGUAUAUUUGAAUUUUUCAAAAAUAAAAAGUUAU
Tupaia belangeri (northern tree shrew) is the source of this 145-nucleotide small nuclear RNA. Its record names the gene U4. It matches the Rfam family "U4 spliceosomal RNA". Rfam says of the family: U4 small nuclear RNA (U4 snRNA) is a component of the major U2-dependent spliceosome. The structure of U4 snRNA from yeast and human has been reported. U4 snRNA presents a k-turn RNA motif in the 5p-SL related to recognition of Snu13 protein. Lineage: Eukaryota; Metazoa; Chordata; Mammalia; Scandentia; Tupaiidae. The record is from Ensembl.